UUUUUUAAUUAAAAAAUAAAUAAAGCAGGGAAGGGGAGGAGGGACUAGAGAGUGUUAGGGGUGAGGCUACGGUUUUAAGUAGGACAACUGUGUCACUUUUUUUUUUUUUUUUUUUUUUUUUUUUUUGUGGUACACAGGCCUCUCACUGCCGUGGCCUCUCCCGUUGCGGAGCACAGGCUCCGGACGCGCAGGCUCAGCGGCCAUGGCUCACAGACCCACACGCUCCGCGGCAUGUGGGAUCCUCCCGGACCGGGGCACGAACCCGUGUCCCCUGCAUCGGCAGGCGGACCCUCAACCACUGCGCCACCAGGGAAGCCCUGUGUCAGUUUUAACUGUUACAAAUGUUUGUAAACCCUGCGGGUCAGGUAGGCAGUAGGAUCUGUCUGUGGUGGGAUGUCACCUGUGUGCAUACCAGUCUGUGGACUCGGCCCGACGAUCUCCAGGGUCCUCGUUGGCCUUGACACUUGAGGAAUCCACGUGUUACCCACAGCUUGCAGAGAACUUUCCUUUCUGUAGUAGAAUUGGGCUCACUUUGUCUUUGGUGUUAACAGUUAUUUGCAGUGCAGGCUGAGGGUCUGGGCUCCCAGUGGGAGGCACUAGAGGGAGAUAGGAGGGCUGGAAGAAGGGAGAGGCCAGGGUAUUUCUCCCUCGCCUUCUCCUCCCUGUCAGGUCUCUGGAAGCAGGAGCUUCUCUGGGGCUCCAGUUCUUGCUAGCCAGGCCACCAUGGUUUUGGUUCUCACCAAGUGAUCCAGGUAUCUGAACUCAGCCCCUUAUAGUACAGUGUCACCUGCCACUGAUUUGGCGUCUCCAGGGAUAAAUGCAGCUCCCCGAUCGGCAUCUUCCCUCAACAUCUGAUAAGAAUAUGGAACCAUACGGGAUAUUGUUGCCAGGCUGAAGCAGAUCGUUUAACCUGAAUGAACCUCAGUUCCUGCAGCUGUAGAAGGGU
Molecule: long non-coding RNA, 946 nt
Organism: Orcinus orca (killer whale)
Lineage: Eukaryota; Metazoa; Chordata; Mammalia; Artiodactyla; Delphinidae
Exons: 2
Source: RefSeq, a predicted model, not a curated record